RNAcentral lists this long non-coding RNA (16714 nucleotides) under Setaria viridis. Its description in RNAcentral is "long non-coding RNA (SVIR_LNC010740)". Lineage: Eukaryota; Viridiplantae; Streptophyta; Magnoliopsida; Poales; Poaceae. The record is from RNAcentral.
AUCCACCCGAGUUUCGCUACCCGGAAAUAGUGCAUUCGGGUGCCGAAAUGCACCCGUUUUGCAUCAUUUUUCGUUCCGGAACCUAAUGCUCAAAAACACUCCCAAACAUGUUCUAGGGAAUAAUUAUGAAGAUUGCAUGCGUUCGUUGCGAAAAAAUCCACCCGAGUUUCGCUACCCGGAAAUAGUGCAUUCGGGUGCCGAAAUGCACCCGUUUUGCAUCAUUUUUCGUGCCGAAGCCGAAUGGUCAAAAACACUCCCAAACAUGUUCUAGUGUCUAAUUAGGAAGAUUGCAUGCGUUCGUUGCGAAAAAAUCCACCCGAGUUUCGCUACCCGGAAAUAGUGCAUUCGGGUGCCGAAAUGCACCCGUUUUGCAUCAUUUUUCGUUCCGGAACCGACUACUCAAAAACACUCCCAAACAUGUUCUAGGGUAUAAUUAUGAAGAUUGCAUGCGUUCGUUGCGAAAAAAUCCACCUGAGUUUCGCUACCCAGAAAUAGUGCAUUCUGGUGCCGAAAUGCACCCGUUUUGCAUCGUUUUUCGUGCUGGAACCGAAUGCUCAAAAACACUCCCAAACAUGUUCUAGUGUAUAAUUAGGAAGAUUGCAUGCGUUCGUUGCGAAAAAAUCCACCCGAGUUUCGCUACGAGGAAAUAGUGCAUUCGGGUGCUGAAAUGCACCCGUUUUGCAUCGUUUUUCGUGCCAUAACCGAAUGCUCAAAAAGACUCCCAAACAUGUUCUAGGGUAUAAUUAGGAAGAUUGCAUACGUUCGUUGCGAAAAAAUCCACCCGAGUUUCGCUACCCGGAAAUAGUGCAUUCGGGUGCCGAAAUGCAGCCGUUUUGCAUCAUUUUUCAUGCUAGAACCGAAUGCUCAAAAACACUCCCAAACAUGUUCUAGGGUCUAAUUACGUAGAUUGGAUGCGUUCGUUGCGAAAAAAAUCCACCUGAAUUUCGCUACCCGGAAAUAGUGCAUUCGGGUGCCGAAAUGCACCCAUUUUGCAUCAUUUUUUGUUCCGGAAUCGAAUGCUCAAAAACACUCCGAAACAUGUUCUAGGGUCUAAUUAUGAAGAUUGCAUGCGUUCGUUGCGAAAAAAUCUACCCGAGUUUCGCUACCCGGAAAUAGUGCAUUCGGUUGCUGAAAUGCACCCGUUUUGCAUCAUUUUUCGUGCCGGAACCGAAUGCUCAAAAACACUCCAAAACAUGUUCUAGGGUCUAAUUAGGAAGAUUGCAUGCAUUCGUUGCGAAAAAAUGCACCCGAGUUUCGCUACCCGGAAAUAGUGCAUUCGGGUGCCGAAUUGCACCUGUUUUGUAUCGUUUUUCGUUCUGGAACCGUUGCUCAAAAACACUCCCAAACAUGUUCUAGGGUAUAAUUAUGAAGAUUGCAUGCGUUCGUUGCGAAAAAAUCCACCCGAGUUUCGCUACACGGAAAAAGUGCAUUCGGGUGCCGAAAUGCACCCGUUUUGCAUCGAUUUUCGUUCCGGAACCGAAUGCUCAAAAAGACUCCCAAACAUGUUCUAGGGUAUAAUUAGGAAGAUUGCAUGCAUUCGUUACGAAAAAAUCCACCCGAGUUUCGCUACACGGAAAAAGUGCAUUCGGGUGCCGAAAUGCACCCGAUUUGCCUCGUUUUUCGUUCCGGAACCGAAUGCUCAAAAACACUCCUAAACAUGUUCUAGGGUAUAAUUAGGAAGAUUGCAUGCGUUCGUUGCAAAAAAAUCCGCCCGAGUCUCGCUACCCGGCAAUAGUGCAUUCGGGUGCCGAAAUGCACCCGUUUUGCAUCAUUUUUCGUUCCGGAACCGAAUGCUCAAAAACACUCCCAAACAUGUUCUAGGGUAUAAUUAGGAAGAUUGCAUGCGUUCGUUGUGAAAAAAUCCACCCGAGUGUUGCUACCCGGCAAUAGUGCAUUCGGGUGCCGAAUUGCACCCGUUUUGCAUCAUUUUUCGUUCCGGAACCGAAUGCUCAAAAACACUCCCAAACAUGUUCUAGGGUAUAAUUAGGAAGAUUGCAUGCGUUCGUUGCGAAAAAAUCCACCCGAGUGUCGCUACCCGGCAAUAGUGCAUUCGGUUGCCGAAAUGCACCCGUUUUGUAUCGUUUUUGUUCUGGAACCGUUGCUCAAAAACACUCCAAAACAUGUUCUAUGGUCUAAUUAGGAAGAUUGCAUGCAUUCGUUGCGAAAAAAUCCACCCGAGUUUCGCUACCCGGAAAUAGUGCAUUCGGGUGCCGAAUUGCACCUGUUUUGUAUCGUUUUUCGUUCUGGAACCGUUGCUCAAAAACACUCCCAAACAUGUUCUAGGGUAUAAUUAUGAAGAUUGCAUGCGUUCGUUGCGAAAAAAUCCACUCGAGUUUCGCUACACGGAAAAAGUGCAUUCGGGUGCCGAAAUGCACCCGUUUUGCAUCGUUUUUCGUUCCGGAACCGAAUGCUCAAAAACACUCCCAAACAUGUUCUAGGGUAUAAUUAGGAAGAUUGCAUGCAUUCAUUGCGAAAAAAUCCACCCGAGUUUCGCUACCCGGCAAUAGUGCAUUCGGGUGCCGAAAUGCACCCGUUUUGCAUCAUUUUUCGUUCCGGAACCGAAUGCUCAAAAACACUCCCAAACAUGUUCUAGGGUAUAAUUUGGAAGAUUGCAUGCGUUCGUUGCGAAAAAAUCCACCCGAGUUUCGCUACGAGGAAAUAGUGCAUUCGGGUGCUGAAAUGCACCCGUUUUGCAUCGUUUUUCGUGCCAUAACCGAAUGCUCAAAAAGACUGCCAAACAUGUUCUAGGGUAUAAUUAGGAAGAUUGCAUAUGUUUGUUGCGAAAAAAUCCACCUGAGUUUCGCUACCCGGAAAUAGUGCAUUCGGGUGCCGAAAUGCAGCCGUUUUGCAUCAUUUUUCAUGCUAGAACCGAAUGCUCAAAAACACUCCCAAACAUGUUCUAGGGUCUAAUUACGUAGAUUGGAUGCGUUCGUUGCGAAAAAAAUCCACCUGAAUUUCGCUACCCGGAAAUAGUGCAUUCGGGUGCCGAAAUGCACCCAUUUUGCAUCAUUUUUUGUUCCGGAAUCGAAUGCUCAAAAACACUCCGAAACAUGUUCUAGGGUCUAAUUAUGAAGAUUGCAUGCGUUCGUUGCGAAAAAAUCUACCCGAGUUUCGCUACCCGGAAAUAGUGCAUUCGGUUGCUGAAAUGCACCCGUUUUGUAUCGUUUUUCGUGCCGGAACCGAAUGCUCAAAAACACUCCAAAACAUGUUCUAGGGUCUAAUUAGGAAGAUUGCAUGCAUUCGUUGCGAAAAAAUGCACCCGAGUUUCGCUACCCGGAAAUAGUGCAUUCGGGUGCCGAAUUGCACCUGUUUUGUAUCGUUUUUCGUUCUGGAACCGUUGCUCAAAAACACUCCCAAACAUGUUCUAGGGUAUAAUUAUGAAGAUUGCAUGCGUUCGUUGCGAAAAAAUCCACCCGAGUUUCGCUACACGGAAAAAGUGCAUUCGGGUGCCGAAAUGCACCCGUUUUGCAUCGUUUUUCGUUCCGGAACCGAAUGCUCAAAAAGACUCCCAAACAUGUUCUAGGGUAUAAUUAGGAAGAUUGCAUGCGUUCGUUGCGAAAAAAUCCACCCGAGUUUCGCUACACGGAAAAAGUGCAUUCGGGUGCCGAAAUGCACCCGAUUUGCCUCGUUUUUCGUUCCGGAACCGAAUGCUCAAAAACACUCCUAAACAUGUUCUAGGGUAUAAUUAGGAAGAUUGCAUGCGUUCGUUGCGAAAAAAUCCGCCCGAGUCUCGCUACCCGGCAAUAGUGCAUUCGGGUGCCGAAAUGCACCCGUUUUGCAUCAUUUUUCGUUCCGGAACCGAAUGCUCAAAAACACUCCCAAACAUGUUCUAGGGUAUAAUUAGGAAGAUUGCAUGCGUUUGUUGUGAAAAAAUCCACCCGAGUGUUGCUACCCGGCAAUAGUGCAUUCGGGUGCCGAAUUGCACCCGUUUUGCAUCAUUUUUCGUUCCGGAACCGAAUGCUCAAAAACACUCCCAAACAUGUUCUAGGGUAUAAUUAGGAAGAUUGCAUGCGUUCGUUGCGAAAAAAUCCACCCGAGUGUCGCUACCCGGCAAUAGUGCAUUCGGUUGCCGAAAUGCACCCGUUUUGUAUCGUUUUUGUUCUGGAACCGUUGCUCAAAAACACUCCAAAACAUGUUCUAUGGUCUAAUUAGGAAGAUUGCAUGCAUUCGUUGCGAAAAAAUCCACCCGAGUUUCGCUACCCGGAAAUAGUGCAUUCGGGUGCCGAAUUGCACCUGUUUUGUAUCGUUUUUCGUUCUGGAACCGUUGCUCAAAAACACUCCCAAACAUGUUCUAGGGUAUAAUUAUGAAGAUUGCAUGCGUUCGUUGCGAAAAAAUCCACUCGAGUUUCGCUACACGGAAAAAGUGCAUUCGGGUGCCGAAAUGCACCCGUUUUGCAUCGUUUUUCGUUCCGGAACCGAAUGCUCAAAAACACUCCCAAACAUGUUCUAGGGUAUAAUUAGGAAGAUUGCAUGCAUUCGUUGCGAAAAAAUCCACCCGAGUUUCGCUACCCGGCAAUAGUGCAUUCGGGUGCCGAAAUGCACCCGUUUUGCAUCAUUUUUCGUUCCGGAACCGAAUGCUCAAAAACACUCCCAAACAUGUUCUAGGGUAUAAUUUGGAAGAUUGCAUGCGUUCGUUGCGAAAAAAUCCACCCGAGUUUCGCUACCCGGCAAUAGUCCAUUCGGGUGCCGAAAUGCACCCAUUUUGCCUCGUUUUUCAUGCCGGAACGGAAUGCUCAAAAACACUCCCAACCAUGUUCUAGUCUAUAAUUAGGAAGAUUGCAUGCGUUCGUUGCGAAAAAAUCCACCCGAGUUUCGCUACCCGGAAAUAGUGCAUUCGGGUGCCGAAAUGCAGCCGUUUUGCAUCAUUUUCAUGCUAGAACCGAAUGCUCAAAAACACUCCCAAACAUGUUCUAGGGUCUAAUUACGUAGAUUGGAUGCGUUCGUUGCGAAAAAAUCCACCUGAAUUUCGCUACCCGGAAAUAGUGCAUUCGGGUGCCGAAAUGCACCCAUUUUGCAUCAUUUUUUGUUCCGGAAUCGAAUGCUCAAAAACACUCCGAAACAUGUUCUAGGGUCUAAUUAUGAAGAUUGCAUGCGUUCAUUGCGAAAAAAUCUACCCGAGUUUCGCUACCCGGAAAUAGUGCAUUCGGUUGCUGAAAUGCACCCGUUUUGCAUCGUUUUUCGUGCCGGAACCGAAUGCUCAAAAACACUCCAAAACAUGUUCUAGGGUCUAAUUAGGAAGAUUGCAUGCAUUCGUUGCGAAAAAAUGCACCCGAGUUUCGCUACCCGGAAAUAGUGCAUUCGGGUGCCGAAUUGCACCUGUUUUGUAUCGUUUUUCGUUCUGGAACCGUUGCUCAAAAACACUCCCAAACAUGUUCUAGGGUAUAAUUAUGAAGAUUGCAUGCGUUCGUUGCGAAAAAAUCCACCCGAGUUUCGCUACACGGAAAAAGUGCAUUCGGGUGCCGAAAUGCACCCGUUUUGCAUCGUUUUUCGUUCCGGAACCGAAUGCUCAAAAAGACUCCCAAACAUGUUCUAGGGUAUAAUUAGGAAGAUUGCAUGCGUUCGUUGCAAAAAAAUCCACCCGAGUUUCGCUACACGCAAAAAGUGCAUUCGGGUGCCGAAAUGCACCCGAUUUGCCUCGUUUUUCGUUCCGGAACCGAAUGCUCAAAAACACUCCUAAACAUGUUCUAGGGUUUAAUUAGGAAGAUUGCAUGCGUUCGUUGCGAAAAAAUCCGCCCGAGUCUCGCUACCCGACAAUAGUGCAUUCGGGUGCCGAAAUGCACCCGUUUUGCAUCAUUUUUCGUUCCGGAACCGAAUGCUCAAAAACACUCCCAAACAUGUUCUAGGGUAUAAUUAGGAAGAUUGCAUGCGUUCGUUGUGAAAAAAUCCACCCGAGUGUUGCUACCCGGCAAUAGUGCAUUCGGGUGCCGAAUUGCACCCGUUUUGCAUCAUUUUUCGUUCCGGAACCGAAUGCUCAAAAACACUCCCAAACAUGUUCUAGGGUAUAAUUAGGAAGAUUGCAUGCGUUCGUUGCGAAAAAAUCCACCCGAGUGUCGCUACCCGGCAAUAGUGCAUUCGGUUGCCGAAAUGCACCCGUUUUGUAUCGUUUUUGUUCUGGAACCGUUGCUCAAAAACACUCCAAAACAUGUUCUAGGGUCUAAUUAGGAAGAUUGCAUGCGUUCGUUGCGAAAAAAUCCACCCGAGUUUUGCUACCCGGAAAUAGUGCAUUCGGGUGCCGAAUUGCACCUGUUUUGUAUCGUUUUUCGUUCUGGAACCGUUGCUCAAAAACACUCCCAAACAUGUUCUAGGGUAUAAUUAUGAAGAUUGCAUGCGUUCGUUGCGAAAAAAUCCACUCGAGUUUCGCUACACGGAAAAAGUGCAUUCGGGUACCGAAAUGCACCCGUUUUGCAUCGUUUUUCGUUCCGGAACCGAAUGCUCAAAAACACUCCCAAACAUGUUCUAGGGUAUAAUUAGGAAGAUUGCAUGCAUUCGUUGCGAAAAAAUCCACCCGAGUUUCGCUACCCGGCAAUAGUGCAUUCGGGUGCCGAAAUGCACCCGUUUUGCAUCAUUUUUCGUUCCGGAACCGAAUGCUCAAAAACACUCCCAAACAUGUUCUAGGGUAUAAUUUGGAAGAUUGCAUGCGUUCGUUGCGAAAAAAUCCACCCGAGUUUCGCUACCCGGCAAUAGUGCAUUCGGGUGCCGAAAUGCACCCAUUUUGCCUCGUUUUUCGUGCCGGAACGGAAUGCUCAAAAACACUCCCAACCAUGUUCUAGUCUAUAAUUAGGAAGAUUGCAUGCGUUCGUUGCGAAAAAAUCCACCCGAGUUUCGCUACACGGAAAUAGUGCGUUCGGGUGCCGAAAUGCACCCAUUUUGCCCCGUUUUUCGUUCCGGAACCGAAUGCUCAAAAAAACACCCCCAAACAUGUUCUAGGGUAUAAUUGGGAAGAUUGCAUGCGUUCGUUGCGAAAAAAUCCACCCGAGUUUCGCUACCCAGCAAUAGUGCAUUCGGGUGCCGAAAUGCACCCGUUUUGCAUCAUUUUUCGUUCCGGAACCGAAUGCUCAAAAACACUCCCAAACAUGUUCUAGGUUAUAAUUAGGAAGAUUGCAUGCCUUCGUUGCGAAAAAAUCCACCCGAGUUUCGCUACGAGGAAAUUGUGCAUUCGGGUGCUGAAAUGCACCCGUUUUGCAUCGUUUUUCGUGCCAUAACCGAAUGCUCAAAAAGACUCCCAAACAUGUUCUAGGGUAUAAUUAGGAAGAUUGCAUACGUUUGUUGCGAAAAAAUCCACCCGAGUUUCGCUACCCGGAAAUAGUGCAUUCGGGUGCCGAAAUGCAGCCGUUUUGCAUCAUUUUUCAUGCUAGAACCGAAUGCUCAAAAACACUCCCAAACAUGUUCUAGGGUCUAAUUACGUAGAUUGGAUGCGUUCGUUGCGAAAAAAAUCCACCUGAAUUUCGCUACCCGGAAAUAGUGCAUUCGGGUGCCGAAAUGCACCCAUUUUGCAUCAUUUUUUGUUCCGGAAUCGAAUGCUCAAAAACACUCCGAAACAUGUUCUAGGGUCUAAUUAUGAAGAUUGCAUGCGUUCGUUGCGAAAAAAUCUACCCGAGUUUCGCUACCCGGAAAUAGUGCAUUCGGUUGCUGAAAUGCACCCGUUUUGCAUCGUUUUUCGUGCCGGAACCGAAUGCUCAAAAACACUCCAAAACAUGUUCUAGGGUCUAAUUAGGAAGAUUGCAUGCAUUCGUUGCGAAAAAAUGCACCCGAGUUUCGCUACCCGGAAAUAGUGCAUUCGGGUGCCGAAUUGCACCUGUUUUGUAUCGUUUUUCGUUCUGGAACCGUUGCUCAAAAACACUCCCAAACAUGUUCUAGGGUAUAAUUAUGAAGAUUGCAUGCGUUCGUUGCGAAAAAAUCCACCCGAGUUUCGCUACACGGAAAAAGUGCAUUCGGGUGCCGAAAUGCACCCGUUUUGCAUCGUUUUUCGUUCCGGAACCGAAUCCUCAAAAAGACUCCCAAACAUGUUCUAGGGUAUAAUUAGGAAGAUUGCAUGCGUUCGUUGCGAAAAAAUCCACCCGAGUUUCGCUACACGGAAAAAGUGCAUUCGGGUGCCGAAAUGCACCCGUUUUGCAUCGUUUUUCGUUCCGGAACCGAAUGCUCAAAAAGACUCCCAAACAUGUUCUAGGGUAUAAUUAGGAAGAUUGCAUGCGUUCGUUGCGAAAAAAUCCACCCGAGUUUCGCUACACGGAAAAAGUGCAUUCGGGUGCCGAAAUGCACCCGAUUUGCCUCGUUUUUCGUUCCGGAACCGAAUGCUCAAAAACACUCCUAAACAUGUUCUAGGGUAUAAUUAGGAAGAUUGCAUGCGUUCGUUGCGAAAAAAUCCGCCCGAGUCUCGCUACCCGGCAAUAGUGCAUUCGGGUGCCGAAAUGCACCCGUUUUGCAUCAUUUUUCGUUCCGGAACCGAAUGCUCAAAAACACUCCCAAACAUGUUCUAGGGUAUAAUUAGGAAGAUUGCAUGCGUUCGUUGUGAAAAAAUCCACCCGAGUGUUGCUACCCGGCAAUAGUGCAUUCGGGUGCCGAAUUGCACCCGUUUUGCAUCAUUUUUCGUUCCGGAACCGAAUGCUCAAAAACACUCCCAAACAUGUUCUAGGGUAUAAUUAGGAAGAUUGCAUGCGUUCGUUGCGAAAAAAUCCACCCGAGUGUCGCUACCCGGCAAUAGUGCAUUCGGUUGCCGAAAUGCACCCGUUUUGUAUCGUUUUUGUUCUGGAACCGUUGCUCAAAAACACUCCAAAACAUGUUCUAUGGUCUAAUUAGGAAGAUUGCAUGCAUUCGUUGCGAAAAAAUCCACCCGAGUUUCGCUACCCGGAAAUAGUGCAUUCGGGUGCCGAAUUGCACCUGUUUUGUAUCGUUUUUCGUUCUGGAACCGUUGCUCAAAAACACUCCCAAACAUGUUCUAGGGUAUAAUUAUGAAGAUUGCAUGCGUUCGUUGCGAAAAAAUCCACUCGAGUUUCGCUACACGGAAAAAGUGCAUUCGGGUGCCGAAAUGCACCCGUUUUGCAUCGUUUUUCGUUCCGGAACCGAAUGCUCAAAAACACUCCCAAACAUGUUCUAGGGUAUAAUUAGGAAGAUUGCAUGCAUUCGUUGCGAAAAAAUCCACCCGAGUUUCGCUACCCGGCAAUAGUGCAUUCGGGUGCCGAAAUGCACCCGUUUUGCAUCAUUUUUCGUUCCGGAACCGAAUGCUCAAAAACACUCCCAAACAUGUUCUAGGGUAUAAUUUGGAAGAUUGCAUGCGUUCGUUGCGAAAAAAUGCACCCGAGUUUCGCUACACGGAAAAAGUGCAUUCGGGUACCGAAAUGCACCCGUUUUGCAUCGUUUUUCGUUCCGGAACCGAAUGCUCAAAAACACUCCCAAACAUGUUCUAGGGUAUAAUUAGGAAGAUUGCAUGCAUUCGUUGCGAAAAAAAUCCACCCGAGUUUCGCUACCCGGCAAUAGUGCAUUCGGGUGCCGAAAUGCACCCGUUUUGCAUCAUUUUUCGUUCCGGAACCGAAUGCUCAAAAACACUCCCAAACAUGUUCUAGGGUAUAAUUUGGAAGAUUGCAUGCGUUCGUUGCGAAAAAAUCCACCCGAGUUUCGCUACCCGGCAAUAGUUCAUUCGGGUGCCGAAAUGCACCCAUUUUGCCUCGUUUUUCGUGCCGGAACGGAAUGCUCAAAAACACUCCCAACCAUGUUCUAGUCUAUAAUUAGGAAGAUUGCAUGCGUUCGUUGCGAAAAAAUCCACCCGAGUUUCGCUACACGGAAAUAGUGCGUUCGGGUGCCGAAAUGCACCCAUUUUGCCCCGUUUUUCGUUCCGGAACCGAAUGCUCAAAAAAACACCCCCAAACAUGUUCUAGGGUAUAAUUGGGAAGAUUGCAUGCGUUCGUUGCGAAAAAAUCCACCCGAGUUUCGCUACCCAGCAAUAGUGCAUUCGGGUGCCGAAAUGCACCCGUUUUGCAUCAUUUUUCGUUCCGGAACCGAAUGCUCAAAAACACUCCCAAACAUGUUCUAGGUUAUAAUUAGGAAGAUUGCAUGCCUUCGUUGCGAAAAAAUCCACCCGAGUUUCGCUACGAGGAAAUUGUGCAUUCGGGUGCUGAAAUGCACCCGUUUUGCAUCGUUUUUCGUGCCAUAACCGAAUGCUCAAAAAGACUCCCAAACAUGUUCUAGGGUAUAAUUAGGAAGAUUGCAUACGUUUGUUGCGAAAAAAUCCACCCGAGUUUCGCUACCCGGAAAUAGUGCAUUCGGGUGCCGAAAUGCAGCCGUUUUGCAUCAUUUUUCAUGCUAGAACCGAAUGCUCAAAAACACUCCCAAACAUGUUCUAGGGUCUAAUUACGUAGAUUGGAUGCGUUCGUUGCGAAAAAAAUCCACCUGAAUUUCGCUACCCGGAAAUAGUGCAUUCGGGUGCCGAAAUGCACCCAUUUUGCAUCAUUUUUUGUUCCGGAAUCGAAUGCUCAAAAACACUCCGAAACAUGUUCUAGGGUCUAAUUAUGAAGAUUGCAUGCGUUCGUUGCGAAAAAAUCUACCCGAGUUUCGCUACCCGGAAAUAGUGCAUUCGGUUGCUGAAAUGCACCCGUUUUGCAUCGUUUUUCGUGCCGGAACCGAAUGCUCAAAAACACUCCAAAACAUGUUCUAGGGUCUAAUUAGGAAGAUUGCAUGCAUUCGUUGCGAAAAAAUGCACCCGAGUUUCGCUACCCGGAAAUAGUGCAUUCGGGUGCCGAAUUGCACCUGUUUUGUAUCGUUUUUCGUUCUGGAACCGUUGCUCAAAAACACUCCCAAACAUGUUCUAGGGUAUAAUUAUGAAGAUUGCAUGCGUUCGUUGCGAAAAAAUCCACCCGAGUUUCGCUACACGGAAAAAGUGCAUUCGGGUGCCGAAAUGCACCCGUUUUGCAUCGUUUUUCGUUCCGGAACCGAAUCCUCAAAAAGACUCCCAAACAUGUUCUAGGGUAUAAUUAGGAAGAUUGCAUGCGUUCGUUGCGAAAAAAUCCACCCGAGUUUCGCUACACGGAAAAAGUGCAUUCGGGUGCCGAAAUGCACCCGUUUUGCAUCGUUUUUCGUUCCGGAACCGAAUGCUCAAAAAGACUCCCAAACAUGUUCUAGGGUAUAAUUAGGAAGAUUGCAUGCGUUCGUUGCGAAAAAAUCCACCCGAGUUUCGCUACACGGAAAAAGUGCAUUCGGGUGCCGAAAUGCACCCGAUUUGCCUCGUUUUUCGUUCCGGAACCGAAUGCUCAAAAACACUCCUAAACAUGUUCUAGGGUCUAAUUAUGAAGAUUGCAUGCGUUCGUUGCAAAAAAAUCUACCCGAGUUUCGCUACCCGGAAAUAGUGCAUUCGGUUGCUGAAAUGCACCUGUUUUGCAUCGUUUUUCGUGCCGGAACCGAAUGCUCAAAAACACUCCAAAACAUGUUCUAGGGUCUAAUUAGGAAGAUUGCAUGCAUUCGUUGCGAAAAAAUGCACCCGAGUUUCGCUACCCGGAAAUAGUGCAUUCGGGUGCCGAAAUGCAGCCGUUUUGCAUCAUUUUUCAUGCUAGAACCGAAUGCUCAAAAACACUCCCAAACAUGUUCUAGGGUCUAAUUACGUAGAUUGGAUGCGUUCGUUGCGAAAAAAAUCCACCUGAAUUUCGCUACCCGGAAAUAGUGCAUUCGGGUGCCGAAAUGCACCCAUUUUGCAUCAUUUUUUGUUCCGGAAUCGAAUGCUCAAAAACACUCCGAAACAUGUUCUAGGGUCUAAUUAUGAAGAUUGCAUGCGUUCGUUGCGAAAAAAUCUACCCGAGUUUCGCUACCCGGAAAUAGUGCAUUCGGUUGCUGAAAUGCACCCGUUUUGCAUCGUUUUUCGUGCCGGAACCGAAUGCUCAAAAACACUCCAAAACAUGUUCUAGGGUCUAAUUAGGAAGAUUGCAUGCAUUCGUUGCGAAAAAAUGCACCCGAGUUUCGCUACCCGGAAAUAGUGCAUUCGGGUGCCGAAUUGCACCUGUUUUGUAUCGUUUUUCGUUCUGGAACCGUUGCUCAAAAACACUCCCAAACAUGUUCUAGGGUAUAAUUAUGAAGAUUGCAUGCGUUCGUUGCGAAAAAAUCCACCCGAGUUUCGCUACACGGAAAAAGUGCAUUCGGGUGCCGAAAUGCACCCGUUUUGCAUCGUUUUUCGUUCCGGAACCGAAUGCUCAAAAAGACUCCCAAACAUGUUCUAGGGUAUAAUUAGGAAGAUUGCAUGCGUUCGUUGCGAAAAAAUCCACCCGAGUUUCGCUACACGGAAAAAGUGCAUUCGGGUGCCGAAAUGCACCCGAUUUGCCUCGUUUUUCGUUCCGGAACCGAAUGCUCAAAAACACUCCUAAACAUGUUCUAGGGUAUAAUUAGGAAGAUUGCAUGCGUUCGUUGCGAAAAAAUCCGCCCGAGUCUCGCUACCCGGCAAUAGUGCAUUCGGGUGCCGAAAUGCACCCGUUUUGCAUCAUUUUUCGUUCCGGAACCGAAUGCUCAAAAACACUCCCAAACAUGUUCUAGGGUAUAAUUAGGAAGAUUGCAUGCGUUCGUUGUGAAAAAAUCCACCCGAGUGUUGCUACCCGGCAAUAGUGCAUUCGGGUGCCGAAUUGCACCCGUUUUGCAUCAUUUUUCGUUCCGGAACCGAAUGCUCAAAAACACUCCCAAACAUGUUCUAGGGUAUAAUUAGGAAGAUUGCAUGCGUUCGUUGCGAAAAAAUCCACCCGAGUGUCGCUACCCGGCAAUAGUGCAUUCGGUUGCCGAAAUGCACCCGUUUUGUAUCGUUUUUGUUCUGGAACCGUUGCUCAAAAACACUCCAAAACAUGUUCUAUGGUCUAAUUAGGAAGAUUGCAUGCAUUCGUUGCGAAAAAAUCCACCCGAGUUUCGCUACCCGGAAAUAGUGCAUUCGGGUGCCGAAUUGCACCUGUUUUGUAUCGUUUUUCGUUCUGGAACCGUUGCUCAAAAACACUCCCAAACAUGUUCUAGGGUAUAAUUAUGAAGAUUGCAUGCGUUCGUUGCGAAAAAAUCCACUCGAGUUUCGCUACACGGAAAAAGUGCAUUCGGGUGCCGAAAUGCACCCGUUUUGCAUCGUUUUUCGUUCCGGAACCGAAUGCUCAAAAACACUCCCAAACAUGUUCUAGGGUAUAAUUAGGAAGAUUGCAUGCAUUCGUUGCGAAAAAAUCCACCCGAGUUUCGCUACCCGGCAAUAGUGCAUUCGGGUGCCGAAAUGCACCCGUUUUGCAUCAUUUUUCGUUCCGGAACCGAAUGCUCAAAAACACUCCCAAACAUGUUCUAGGGUAUAAUUUGGAAGAUUGCAUGCGUUCGUUGCGAAAAAAUGCACCCGAGUUUCGCUACACGGAAAAAGUGCAUUCGGGUACCGAAAUGCACCCGUUUUGCAUCGUUUUUCGUUCCGGAACCGAAUGCUCAAAAACACUCCCAAACAUGUUCUAGGGUAUAAUUAGGAAGAUUGCAUGCAUUCGUUGCGAAAAAAUCCACCCGAGUUUCGCUACCCGGCAAUAGUGCAUUCGGGUGCCGAAAUGCACCCGUUUUGCAUCAUUUUUCGUUCCGGAACCGAAUGCUCAAAAACACUCCCAAACAUGUUCUAGGGUAUAAUUUGGAAGAUUGCAUGCGUUCGUUGCGAAAAAAAUCCACCCGAGUUUCGCUACCCGGCAAUAGUUCAUUCGGGUGCCGAAAUGCACCCAUUUUGCCUCGUUUUUCGUGCCGGAACGGAAUGCUCAAAAACACUCCCAACCAUGUUCUAGUCUAUAAUUAGGAAGAUUGCAUGCGUUCGUUGCGAAAAAAUCCACCCGAGUUUCGCUACACGGAAAUAGUGCGUUCGGGUGCCGAAAUGCACCCAUUUUGCCCCGUUUUUCGUUCCGGAACCGAAUGCUCAAAAAAACACCCCCAAACAUGUUCUAGGGUAUAAUUGGGAAGAUUGCAUGCGUUCGUUGCGAAAAAAUCCACCCGAGUUUCGCUACCCAGCAAUAGUGCAUUCGGGUGCCGAAAUGCACCCGUUUUGCAUCAUUUUUCGUUCCGGAACCGAAUGCUCAAAAACACUCCCAAACAUGUUCUAGGUUAUAAUUAGGAAGAUUGCAUGCCUUCGUUGCGAAAAAAUCCACCCGAGUUUCGCUACGAGGAAAUUGUGCAUUCGGGUGCUGAAAUGCACCCGUUUUGCAUCGUUUUUCGUGCCAUAACCGAAUGCUCAAAAAGACUCCCAAACAUGUUCUAGGGUAUAAUUAGGAAGAUUGCAUACGUUUGUUGCGAAAAAAUCCACCCGAGUUUCGCUACCCGGAAAUAGUGCAUUCGGGUGCCGAAAUGCAGCCGUUUUGCAUCAUUUUUCAUGCUAGAACCGAAUGCUCAAAAACACUCCCAAACAUGUUCUAGGGUCUAAUUACGUAGAUUGGAUGCGUUCGUUGCGAAAAAAAUCCACCUGAAUUUCGCUACCCGGAAAUAGUGCAUUCGGGUGCCGAAAUGCACCCAUUUUGCAUCAUUUUUUGUUCCGGAAUCGAAUGCUCAAAAACACUCCGAAACAUGUUCUAGGGUCUAAUUAUGAAGAUUGCAUGCGUUCGUUGCGAAAAAAUCUACCCGAGUUUCGCUACCCGGAAAUAGUGCAUUCGGUUGCUGAAAUGCACCCGUUUUGCAUCGUUUUUCGUGCCGGAACCGAAUGCUCAAAAACACUCCAAAACAUGUUCUAGGGUCUAAUUAGGAAGAUUGCAUGCAUUCGUUGCGAAAAAAUGCACCCGAGUUUCGCUACCCGGAAAUAGUGCAUUCGGGUGCCGAAUUGCACCUGUUUUGUAUCGUUUUUCGUUCUGGAACCGUUGCUCAAAAACACUCCCAAACAUGUUCUAGGGUAUAAUUAUGAAGAUUGCAUGCGUUCGUUGCGAAAAAAUCCACCCGAGUUUCGCUACACGGAAAAAGUGCAUUCGGGUGCCGAAAUGCACCCGUUUUGCAUCGUUUUUCGUUCCGGAACCGAAUCCUCAAAAAGACUCCCAAACAUGUUCUAGGGUAUAAUUAGGAAGAUUGCAUGCGUUCGUUGCGAAAAAAUCCACCCGAGUUUCGCUACACGGAAAAAGUGCAUUCGGGUGCCGAAAUGCACCCGUUUUGCAUCGUUUUUCGUUCCGGAACCGAAUGCUCAAAAAGACUCCCAAACAUGUUCUAGGGUAUAAUUAGGAAGAUUGCAUGCGUUCGUUGCGAAAAAAUCCACCCGAGUUUCGCUACACGGAAAAAGUGCAUUCGGGUGCCGAAAUGCACCCGAUUUGCCUCGUUUUUCGUUCCGGAACCGAAUGCUCAAAAACACUCCUAAACAUGUUCUAGGGUCUAAUUAUGAAGAUUGCAUGCGUUCGUUGCAAAAAAAUCUACCCGAGUUUCGCUACCCGGAAAUAGUGCAUUCGGUUGCUGAAAUGCACCUGUUUUGCAUCGUUUUUCGUGCCGGAACCGAAUGCUCAAAAACACUCCAAAACAUGUUCUAGGGUCUAAUUAGGAAGAUUGCAUGCAUUCGUUGCGAAAAAAUGCACCCGAGUUUCGCUACCCGGAAAUAGUGCAUUCGGGUGCCGAAAUGCAGCCGUUUUGCAUCAUUUUUCAUGCUAGAACCGAAUGCUCAAAAACACUCCCAAACAUGUUCUAGGGUCUAAUUACGUAGAUUGGAUGCGUUCGUUGCGAAAAAAAUCCACCUGAAUUUCGCUACCCGGAAAUAGUGCAUUCGGGUGCCGAAAUGCACCCAUUUUGCAUCAUUUUUUGUUCCGGAAUCGAAUGCUCAAAAACACUCCGAAACAUGUUCUAGGGUCUAAUUAUGAAGAUUGCAUGCGUUCGUUGCGAAAAAAUCUACCCGAGUUUCGCUACCCGGAAAUAGUGCAUUCGGUUGCUGAAAUGCACCCGUUUUGCAUCGUUUUUCGUGCCGGAACCGAAUGCUCAAAAACACUCCAAAACAUGUUCUAGGGUCUAAUUAGGAAGAUUGCAUGCAUUCGUUGCGAAAAAAUGCACCCGAGUUUCGCUACCCGGAAAUAGUGCAUUCGGGUGCCGAAUUGCACCUGUUUUGUAUCGUUUUUCGUUCUGGAACCGUUGCUCAAAAACACUCCCAAACAUGUUCUAUGGUAUAAUUAUGAAGAUUGCAUGCGUUCGUUGCGAAAAAAUCCACCCGAGUUUCGCUACACGGAAAAAGUGCAUUUGGGUGCCGAAAUGCACCCGUUUUGCAUCGUUUUUCGUUCCGGAACCGAAUCCUCAAAAAGACUCCCAAACAUGUUCUAGGGUAUAAUUAGGAAGAUUGCAUGCGUUCGUUGCGAAAAAAUCCACCCGAGUUUCGCUACACGGAAAAAGUGCAUUCGGGUGCCGAAAUGCACCCGUUUUGCAUCGUUUUUCGUUCCGGAACCGAAUGCUCAAAAAGACUCCCAAACAUGUUCUAGGGUAUAAUUAGGAAGAUUGCAUGCGUUCGUUGCGAAAAAAUCCACCCGAGUUUCGCUACACGGAAAAAGUGCAUUCGGGUGCCGAAAUGCACCCGAUUUGCCUCGUUUUUCGUUCCGGAACCGAAUGCUCAAAAACACUCCUAAACAUGUUCUAGGGUAUAAUUAGGAAGAUUGCAUGCGUUCGUUGCGAAAAAAUCCGCCCGAGUCUCGCUACCCGGCAAUAGUGCAUUCGGGUGCCGAAAUGCACCCGUUUUGCAUCAUUUUUCGUUCCGGAACCGAAUGCUCAAAAACACUCCCAAACAUGUUCUAGGGUAUAAUUAGGAAGAUUGCAU